ACGGGAGGAAACGACCACCUGGCGCCCUGGGAUUGGAAGAGGAGCAGGCCCCGCCCCCAGGCGCCGUCCGAACCCUCCCGGCAGAGGGCCGCUGCUAGAGCACGUUCUGCUCUAGCUUUUCAAUGAACGUCUCAUCAUAGAGUCUCAACCCACUCAAGCCACAAAAACAAAGUUUCUGGGGGCCAGGGAAGCAGAUGGUGAAAACAGGAGAACGGCCUGCCCCAGGAGAGUGUGCUUGCGCCAUCCACACAAAUGACCAGCUCUGCCAGAAGGGACUGAGUUUCCUCUAUGCUGACGAUCGUGCCAUCACCCCCCAAGCAGGCAGUUUUGAAAGGGUUGGACAGAAGCUCUCCCAAGCUUCAGGUGCUUCUCUUGUUGUUCUUCCUCCUCUUCGUCCUCCUCGUCCUGGCAAAUCAUUGGGUGGAAGAAGAGGUCGCCCGCCUCGGAGAGAUGGAAGACCACAAUGGACCGGUGGUCGUGUUCCCUCUGGACAAGGGCAGCCGUGAUGCCUGUAAAAGAGGGGCAGAGGAAGAGAGAUAUCUGGGUGCAAGGGUCAUCCUUUGGGGGCUUCAGGCUCAAGAAUCACAGCUCAUCUGACUCACGAACUGAUGCGCUGUAGAGGCAAAUAUGCAACUGGUUCUGCUUGCACUGAAGGUAUAGCGGUCAUCAUUCUGAAUACAGUCUAAAGAACAACCUCCAAGUUUAACAGUGAUGUAAAUAGAUAAAUAGGUACCGCGUUAAGGGGCGAGGCUUUAGCUCAGCAGGCUAAUCGCCCAGCUGUCAGCUGCAGUAAAUCUUGCCAACCAGAAGGUUCUCAGUUCAAACCCUGGGUCGGGUGAGCGCCUGGCUAUUCAGCCCAGCUUCUGACCACCAAGCAGGUCGAAAACAGCGAUGUAAGUAGAUAAAUAGGUACCGCAUUAAAGCGGGGAGGUAUUAAAAUAAGGGACGGCAAUCUCUUUGGUACAGAAGAUGGAGCGAAAGCACACACCCACACCCCCCCAGUGACCGAAACCGAGCACAGCCUCCAAAAAGAUGCCGAAAGAUCAAAAGUCUAUAUAUAUGCCUCUAUCUGUCUGUCCUGUCUUUGUCUAAUUUGCAUUGAAUGUUUGCUUUAUAUGUGUUCUAUUAUCCGUUCUGAGUCCCCUUCAGGGUGAGAAGAGCAGAAUAAUAAAACUGUAAAUAAACAGACAAAUAAGUAACACAAAACUUUCAGCAACUGACUAAAACAUGCCUGAUAAUUGAUUUAGAAGCAUGGAAGUUCAGAAAUUGAUCCUCCUCCUACACCCAGCUACUGCACUUUAUUCUGGUCCAUCCUAUUAGAGGUUGCAAGAUAUUGCACAAAGAUAAAUGUACUACCUUGCCUCCAAUUUUGAAUACACUCACUGCGCCUGGCUAUUGGUUAUCUGCUGCGAGUAUGUUCCAUUGUAUUUUAUAUUGUAAAGACGUUAAUUAAUAAAACCGGCUGCCACCAAUUUGGAAAGAUGCAA
Molecule: long non-coding RNA, 1487 nt
Organism: Anolis carolinensis (green anole)
Lineage: Eukaryota; Metazoa; Chordata; Lepidosauria; Squamata; Anolidae
Exons: 3
Source: RefSeq, a predicted model, not a curated record